RNAcentral lists this ribosomal RNA (495 nucleotides) under uncultured bacterium. Its description in RNAcentral is "partial 16S ribosomal RNA". It matches the Rfam family "Bacterial small subunit ribosomal RNA", at positions 28 to 507 of the family's 1533-position model. The record is from RNAcentral.
GACGAACGCUGGCGGCGUGCCUAAUACAUGCAAGUAGAACGCUGAAGGAGGAGCUUGCUUCUCUGGAUGAGUUGCGAACGGGUGAGUAACGCGUAGGUAACCUGCCUGGUAGCGGGGGAUAACUAUUGGAAACGAUAGCUAAUACCGCAUAAUAGUAGAUGUUGCAUGACAUUUGCUUAAAAGGUGCAAUUGCAUCACUACCAGAUGGACCUGCGUUGUAUUAGCUAGUUGGUGGGGUAACGGCUCACCAAGGCGACGAUACAUAGCCGACCUGAGAGGGUGAUCGGCCACACUGGGACUGAGACACGGCCCAGACUCCUACGGGAGGCAGCAGUAGGGAAUCUUCGGCAAUGGACGGAAGUCUGACCGAGCAACGCCGCGUGAGUGAAGAAGGGUUUCGGAUCGUAAAGCUCUGUUGUAAGAGAAGAACGAGUGUGAGGGUGGAAAGUUCACACUGUGACGGUAGCUUACCAGAAAGAGACGGCUAACUACGUG